AGGUCAUUUGCUGUAACUCCUGCAUUUUAGGUGGGGAGCCCCACAGGCAACGGUUAAGAAUCUCACUGCGCUUCUCCAGGGCCCUGAUGAGAAGGCUGGCUUUUGGAUCCCAACUCCCGUGCUCUGCGUGACAUCUUUGCCCUGGCUACCUGCAGACCCAAGGAACUGAUGCUCAGAGCGCAGCAGCAUCUCGGGUAAAAUGUGCAUACGGCAAAACGCACUAGUCUGAAGUGAUAUGAUUUGAUGGGUGCUGACAAGUACACACACCUGUGACAGCCAGACCUCUAUCAAGAUCUAGACUUUUCUAUCACCUGGCUCAUUCUCUCGUGCCCCCUCCCUGGUCAAUCCCUGGAAACAACUACUGAUUUGCUUUCUGUCACUACAGAUUUGUGUGUUCUAGAAUUCCACGUCCAUGGAAUAAAACAGUACAUCCUUU
This is a long non-coding RNA of Neofelis nebulosa (Clouded leopard), 436 nucleotides long. RefSeq lists it as uncharacterized. The record is from RefSeq and is a predicted model, not a curated record. The transcript is spliced from 2 exons. Lineage: Eukaryota; Metazoa; Chordata; Mammalia; Carnivora; Felidae.